This 601-nucleotide ribosomal RNA is filed under the name Cautires maseki. Its description in RNAcentral is "partial 16S ribosomal RNA". It matches the Rfam family "Bacterial large subunit ribosomal RNA", at positions 1816 to 2715 of the family's 2925-position model. Lineage: Eukaryota; Metazoa; Arthropoda; Insecta; Coleoptera; Lycidae. The record is from RNAcentral.
CAUGUCCUUUUGAAUAUAAUUUAAGGUCUGAUCUGCUCAAUGAAUUUUAAAUAGCCGCAGUAUUUUGACUGUGCUAAGGUAGCAUAAUAAUUAGUUUCUUAAUUAGGAACUGGAAUGAAUGAUUGGACAAGAAAAUUUCUGUCUCUUUUUUAAUUAUUGAAUUUUAUUUUUAAGUGAAAAAGCUUAAAUGUUUAUAAAAGACGAGAAGACCCUAUAGAGUUUAAUAUUUUUUUUUAAUUAUAAAUUAGAAUAUUCUUUUAAAUUAAAUUAUUUGGUUGGGGUGAUUUAAAGAUAUAAUUAAUUCUUUAAAAUAAUAAUUAAAGAUUUUUAAAUUUUAAAUCUAUAGUUUAUAAAACUAAAAUAAAUUACCUUAGGGAUAACAGCGUAAUUUUUCUUUAAAGUUCUUAUUAUAAGGAAAGUUUGCGACCUCGAUGUUGGAUUAAAAUAAAUUUUUGGUGCAAUAACUAAAAAAUUGGGUCUGUUCGACCUUUAAAAUUUUACAUGAUCUGAGUUUAGACCGGUGUGAACCAGGUUGGAUUCUAUCUUUAUAUAAAAAAUAUAUUUUAGUACGAAAGGACCAAAUAUAUAUUAAAUUAAUUGU